CGAAUCUCAACCGUCGAGGUUCCCUCAAUCAACGGCCCAAAACUGAGCCUUCUGUAGUAUAAAACUGUCAUAAGGGCUUCCCUUCCCCCUCUUAGACCCCCCUUCCCACCACUUCAUCUCUAUAGCAAACCCUAACGACCCAAGCCGCCCCCAUUACCUCUGUUGAAAUCCACCGGCGGCAACGACGCCGGCUACGCCGAUGACCUCCACAAUUACAACAUAACUCCUUUUUCCCCUCCUCAUGCCAGUUCCACACCUCCCGUCCUUCGAAUCAAUCCCAAACCUCUCGAAUUUACAUUUUAAGGUAUGAACCCCAGCGCCGCCACAAGACCCCGGUGGCGGCGCCACAACCAAUAAACCCUAAAUUAACACCUCGACUUCCUCUCAUCCCCUUGUUCCAUAUCUAGCAUUGGUUUUCUUUGAAUCACAACCAAAGUGCUCAAAUGUUAAAUCAAAAUCUCGGUCAAAACCAUUCCGUCUCCAAACUUUGCCAAAUUUACACCAGGUGUUUACCUCCCUCCCUACGUCAUGAAUCCAUGCCCAUUUCACUUCAAAUGUCCCCCGUUUGUUUCGAAUCUUCAAUCGAAGUCUGACCAAACACCCUAAAUGAUUCUAAUUUGGGGAUAAAGGGAGUUUGGACCAAAAUAGUCCUUAACUAAGGAUUUCCUCAUGGAAAUACUUUAUUAGGGACGAUUAUGGUUCAAAUUUGAUAGGACAGGUUCUUAGGCUGAUCGAGGUAUUAUUUAUCUUCCUAUAUUUUCUUAGUUAAAUUUAAGAAUGUUGUUCUCUAAGUUUUAUCUUUUUGGUUAGGGUAUUUUCCAUAAAUUUGUUUUAGAAUUAGUUUAAUUCCGGAUUUUGUUUUCUUUGUUCUGUUAUCAUGAAUCUGUCAAUUUCCUGUUAAUUGCUUCAGGUUGGUUCUUCUUUUGGUUUCCUUUUAAGUAUGAUUGGUAAUUUAUGGUGUUAUUCUAAUUUGGUUUUAAUUUCAUUUUGAUGUGUGUUUCGUCUCAUUAGUUUCAGUUCAUGAUUAUCAAUAAUUGAUUAUUUUGUUGUUUGGAUAUUGCUGAAUCGGGCUAGUUUAGUUGUAGUUAGGUUUUUGUUUAACUAAUGUUAAGGGGGUGGGUUCAAUUAACUGAAGUAGUUAGCUCUAGGCUGAAUUCAGGGGUAGUCUGGUACUUUAAAAUGCAUAAAAAUAUUGUAGUUACAACUAGGGUCUUCUUGCACCUUCCAAAGAAGGGCCUUAGUAUAAGGGUCAACAAUUUUAGUGUAUUAACUUGAGGCAAAAGUCAGAAAAUAAAGGACUAAAUGAGUAAAUAAAGAAGGACUAAUAGGCAAUUGAGAAUAUGAAAUAUUCAAAACCCUCUGCCUGUAAAAGGCAGUAUGCAUUGCCGUGCUUCUCAAGUUUUUUAGAGCCCAAAUAUUCCCCCCAAAAUACUUCUCAAGCUGGACAGAUCUGAAAUUCAAAUUUCAGAUCCAAAAUUCCUUUAGACCUUAUCUUUCUAAUAAAAUCCCUUAAUUGUGCUUGAGUCGUGCUAUUUAUGUGCUUCUUUGAGGAGGAAACUUUGAGCCUAUAAUUACUCCAUUUAUGUGCUGAAAGUCCUAAGUGUUUUUAUUAUCGUCUUAGAAUUUUUGCCUUUAAAACCUUAGGGGUCCAUCUAGAACUACAUAUAGGUAGAUGUCAUAACUCCCUACGAGAUCAUUAAGAAGGGACGGGUAUCAGCACGUAAUAUAAAUCAUUGACCAAACAAUCGCUUUGCAUGGCCACUAAGGGGAUGGAAAAGGUAGAUAUGGGAUGUCAAAAUAGGGGCUGUAGUCAAGGAUGUAUUGAGCUUCUAAAAGCUCCCCUCACACUCCUCUGUCCAUAGAAAUGGAGCACCCUUCUGGGUCAAUCUAGUCAUAGGGACUGCAAUUAAUGAAAACCCCUCCACAAAAUGAUGGUAGUAAUCCGCCAAGCCAAGGAAAUUGCGAAUCUCUGUAGCUGAGGAGGGCCUGGGCCAACUCUGCAGGACCUCCACCUUCUUCGGAUCCAUCCGAAUGCCCUCACUCGAUACCAUGUGGCCUAGGAAUUCCAUAGAACUAAACCAAAACUCACAUUUUGAGAACUUUCUCAAGCAUAGUCCUCAGGUAUUGCUUAUGAUCUUUUCGGCUUCGAGAGUACACAAGAAUGUCAUCUACGAAAACAAUGACGAACGAGUCAAGAUAGGGCCUGAAUACGCUGUGCAUCAAAUGCAUAAAAGUUGCUGGGGCAUUAGUCAGACCAAGUGACAUAACAAGGAACUCGUAAUGAACAUACCGGGUCCUAAAGGCAGUCUUCGAAUUAUCCGGCUCCCUAAUCUUCAAUUGGUGAUAACCUGAGCGCAAAUCAAUCUUAGAAAACACUUGUGCGCCCUGAAGUUGAUCAAAUAGAUCAUCAAUACGAGGCAAAGGAUAAUUGUUCUUCACUGUAAAUUUGUUCAGUGACGAUAAUCGAUACAUGCUCAUAGAACCAUCCUUUUUCUUCAAAAACAAUACAGGAGCACCCCUGGGUCGAAUAAAACCCUUAUCAAGCAAUUCCUGUAACUGAUCCUUCAACUCAGGAGGAGCCAUACGGUACAGAGGAAUGGAAAUGGGCUGAGUGCCCGACAACAAGUCAAUGCAAAAAUCAAUGUCUCUAUCAGGUGGCAUACCCAGAUGAUCAGUUGGAAACACAUCGGGAUAAUCCUGUACCCUAGAUAGAAUCAACAGAAGGGGUAUCAACACUGACAUCUCUCACAUAAUCUAAAUACGCGGGGCACCCCUUCUCAACUAUACGCUGAGCUUUAAGGAAAGUGAUAACUCUGUUGGGAGUGUUAUCUAAAGUACUACUCAACCCAAUACGCGGAAUACCUGGCAUAGCCAGUGUCACGGUCUUGGCGUGACAAUCAAGAAUAGCAUGAUGGGGCGACAAACAGUCCAUGCCUAAAAUAAUAUCAAAGUCAACCAUACCGAGUAACAAUAAAUCCGCUCUGGUCUCAAAACCAUGAAUAGUAACCAAACAUGACCGAUAAACGCGAUCCACAACAAGAGAAUGUCUCAUGAGAGUAGAAACAUAAACGGGAGAAGUCAAGGAAUCUCAGGCUAUACCCAAACGUGGAGCAAAAUAAGAAGAUAAAUAAGAAUAGGUGGAGCCUGGAUCGAAUAGAAUCGAUUAAUCUCUUUGACAAACUAGUAUAAUACUUGUAAUGACAAAAUCAAAGGCAACACACUAGGUACGAGCAGGAAUGGCAUAAUAUCUAGCCCAACCCCUCUCUUGAGGGCGAUCUCUAUCUUCCCGACCUCUGCCCUUGGCUGGCUGGGCAGAUGGGGUGGCAGCUGGAGCUUUGAUCAUGGCCUGAGAACUCUGACAAGAACCCCUACCAAGUUUGGGAAGUCCCUAACCAUAUGACGUGUAUCGCCACACUCAAAACAAGCUCUGGGUGGAUGUGACUAGCUAGGGCCAUGUCUGUUGGACUGACCUUUGGAAGCACCCUGCGCAGGAGGGAUGCUAGAAACUGGAGGUGCAUUGUAAGGCUCCGAAGGUAUAGGCAGAGCUGGGGCACAGCUGGCUGCUGGAAGAGCUAAAUGAACAGGGAGACCCACAAAACCUCUACCAUGUCGACUUGCUGCCAGGGUACAGCCACCAGAGUAGUGGCCUGACUCUCGAGACCGCUUGGCCUCUCUCUCUGCUUGCUCCCUGGCGAGCAUACCCUCGAUCCUCCUAGCAAUGUUCACUACCUGCUGAUAAGGAAUGUCCAUAUCCAACUCUCGAGCCAUGCUAGAUCUGAUGGGUGAGGUAAGACCCCUCAAUAAACCUGCGAGCUCUCUCACAGAUUGUAGCAACACAAUCAGGAGCAUGUCUUGCGAACCUGGUAUAACAGAUAGCAUACUCCGAAACGGUCAUAGCACCCUGGCGCAAAUGCUCAAACUCUGCCUGCCAUGCGUCCCUGAGACUCUGGGGGACAAACUCUAUCAUAAACAUCUCCGAGAACUGGGUCCAAGUCAGUGAAGCAGCCUCGACUGGACUGUCUAUCUCAUAAGUGCGCCACCAAUCAUAGGCGGCUCCCCGAAGCUGAAAAGCAGUAAAAGAAACCCUGCUGGACUCUACUAUGCCCAUAGUGUGAAGAAUACAGUGCAACUUCUAUAGAAACCCCAAGGCAUCAUAUGUCGCUAAUCUAUUGAAAACUAUAUUAUCAUACUUCUUGAACCUCUCCAACCUUCGUUGCUUGUCUUCAGAUGCAGUUGCCCCAUCUACGGGCUGAUCUGACACUGCGGGCGGUGCAGGAAUGAUCUCUAGGACCUGCUCCAUAUGCGCUCUUUGCUCAGGAGUGCGGGUUGCGGUAAUUUGGGAACCUCCCUGGGCCUGGGAUGUGGCUGCGUUGGAACAAUNNNNNNNNNNNNNNNNNNNNNNNNNNNNNNNNNNNNNNNNNNNNNNNNNNNNNNNNNNNNNNNNNNNNNNNNNNNNNNNNNNNNNNNNNNNNNNNNNNNNNNNNNNNNNNNNNNNNNNNNNNNNNNNNNNNNNNNNNNNNNNNNNNNNNNNNNNNNNNNNNNNNNNNNNNNNNNNNNNNNNNNNNNNNNNNNNNNNNNNNNNNNNNNNNNNNNNNNNNNNNNNNNNNNNNNNNNNNNNNNNNNNNNNNNNNNNNNNNNNNNNNNNNNNNNNNNNNNNNNNNNNNNNNNNNNNNNNNNNNNNNNNNNNNNNNNNNNNNNNNNNNNNNNNNNNNNNNNNNGGGGGGGGGGGGGGGGGAGGGGGAGGAACCCCGCCUAAGCCAAGGUGGUAUAUAUAGACAAGAACUGAGCUAAUGUCUUCUGAAGGGCUGGAGUAGUAGUAGCUGUAGGCGUGUCAGGUGCCUAAACUCCGGCUAGAUCUGCUGGUGGUACCUCAGCGGCAGCUCGCGCAGGUGCUCUAGCUUCACCACGUGCUUGUCCAUGUCCUCUACCCCGGCCCUUGCAUCUAGCAGUUGUAGUAGGGGGCGCGGGUGCCUGAUCAUCCCGAGUAGCACAUCUUCUCACCAUCUGUGAGAGAAUAGAUGACAGAAUUUUUAGACUUGAUGUCAAAAUAUAGCACGAUAAGGAAUUCAAUGAAGUGAAGAUUUUUCCUAAAAGGUUACAUAGCCUCUCGUAGAUAAGUACAGAGGUCACCGUACUGAGCAGCGAGACUCUUAUAAACCGGCCAGUGUUCCAUGACUCCUAUAAACCUAAAGCUCUGGUACCAACUUGUCACAGCCCUAGUUCACCAUUCGUGAACAUGUCAUGACAGCACCUAGUCACUAUGACUAGGCAAGCCCGACAGUGCGAAAAUAACAUCAUUUGCAAAAAAAUAAUAAAUAAAAGCUGGAUAAGUUUAAGGAAAACUAUAUAUAAAUGCCGCUCGACAUAUACAACUCAACAUCACAAGUCUGAAAGAACAGUCCAAAAACCCGAAAACUCACGGGCAACACAGGCUAUAGAAAAGUAUAAUAAAGGCUCUAAACUACAGAAGCUUGUACACCAAAGGAACACAGAAAGCUAAGUACUACAAGAUGGAUUAAGAGGGAUACUCUUCGGUCUGCGGACGCGGCAGAUAUAUCUCAAGUCUCUGUAGCUCUCCCUAAUCACUGAUAAUACGCCUGAGAUGAGGUACCUAGAUUUGCACAUGAAAAACAUGCGUAGAAGAGGUGUGCGUACACCACGGCGGUACUCAUUAAGAGCCAAGCCUAACCUCGGUCGGGUAGUGAAGAGGAAGGUCAAGGCCCCACUAAGGUUAACAUAAUAAUAAUAAUGUACAGUAUGAAAACAGGUAGAAUAAUGGAAACAACAGCGAAAUAAGAUAGAAUCUCCAAGUCAACAACAAAUAACCGAAAUAAGAAUAAACACAAAAAAGUACAGAUCAAUAACAAUGAAGCCCUGAGGAUCUCCCAGAAUACCGUCCUGUAGUCCUUUCUCAACUAUUCAUUGCAUCUCCCGGGAUACCAUCCUGCAAUCCAUCAUAUAUGUAUGUCCGAAGGAUCUACCGGGAUAUCGUCCUGUAGUCCAACUAUCAAUGCGCAGGGGGAUCUAUCGGAAAUCUAACUUGUAGUCCUAAAGUAAAUAUGCAGGGAGAUCUAUCGGGAAUUGAACCCGCAGUCCCCAAGGAAACAAACAAGGGGGAGCUACCGGAAUCCCACGUCCAUAGUCCCAAUAUAAAUACAUAACAACAGCCAGAGAAUAAUAAGAAACACAAUUAAACACCAAGGCAACAUGGAAUCUAGCCUAACAUGCUUAACGUAAUGUAUCAAGGCAAAUUAAGCAACUAAACCAAUUAAGUCAGCUAAACAUGCUUUUCUAGGCUAUCACAGGCUACAUGGCAAGUAAACAAAGAAAGUAAGAAAGGAAUAAGAACUUGAUCAUUUUAAGUAAAGACCGGGUGUUCAAUAUUUAGCACAGGUACACGCUCAUCACCUCACCUACAAGGCACUCAAUCAUCAAAUAACAAGUCCUAAAGGGAGAAGGUUCCCCGCACAAAGUUAGACAAGACACAUACCCCGAACCGGCUAAAACUCAAAUAGGAAUCACGCCUUUGCCACGAGUAUCCGACUCCAAAUUUGCAAAAUCUAUUCAAUUCAAUUAUAUAUAGUAAAUAACAUUGAAAACAAGUGAUUCCACUAUUAAAUUUAAAGCUAGUACGUGAAAAUAGGAAAAAUAACCAAAAUGCCCCUGAGGCCAACAUCUCGGAAUUGAAUAAUUUUCACAUUUUCAGAACCCUCGUACUCUCAUGAGUCUAACCAUAUAAGAAUCUCUCAAAUCGGAGGUCAAAUGCCCACUCAAAACUCAAUAGUUUAGCCUAUUAAGUUUCCCCCAAUUUUACCAAUUUUUUAUCCGCAAUUCGAAGUUUAAUGAUGGAUUUAACUACAAAUGAUGAAAUAUAACUAGAAGGGAGCAAAGAAAUGUUACCCAAUAAUCUCCUCUUCAAAACCAUCUCAAAAUCGCCCUUCCUCGAGCUCAAUUUGAUUUUUCUAGCUUAUGAAAACUAAUCCUCGAAAUUUCAAUAUCUGAAUAGGCAUUUUUGCUUCGACGGACAAGGGACCACUUCUGCAGUCCCGCUUAUGCGGAAAAAGGCCUGCUUCUACGGAUUUCAUUAAAGGCUCAGGGGCUGCAUCUGCGCUGGGAAAAAACUACAGAUGCAGCCUCCUCGGUCUCCCAAGUGAAAAGAUGAGGGUAUCGGAUGCGCAUAUCCCCUCGGUCUCCCAAGUGGCCUCCUCGGCCGACUGACCCAAUCAUUGAACCUUUACUGAAGCAAUGCUUUUUGACCUCAACUUUCUGACCUGCCUGUCCAAUAUAGCCACUGGCUCCUCAAUAUAGGAUAGUUCCUUGCCCAACUGGACUAAGGUGAAAUUCAACACGUGUGACGGAUCACCGUGAUACAUCCAGAGCAUCGAAACAUGAAAUACUAGAUGAACCCCCGCCAAACUGGGAGGUAAGGCAAGCUCAUAAAUAUCCUUCCCAACUGGCCUCAAAAGGGCCAAUAAAUCUCGGACUCCACUUCCCUUUCUUCCUAAAUCUCAUGAUGUCGUUCAUAGGUGAGAUCCGAAGCAGAACUCGCUCACCAACCAUAUAAAAAACAUCACAAACCUUCCGAUCCGCGUAACUCUUCUAUCUGGACUGGGCUAUAUGGAGUCUAUCCUGAAUCACCUUAACCUUCUCUACCGCAUCCUGAACCAAAUCAGUUCCCAAUAGCCUGGCCUCACCCGGCUCAGACCAACCCAGUAGGGACAUGCAUAUCCUACCAUAUAAAGCCUCAUAUGGCACCAUAUGAAUGCUGGACUUAUAACCGUUGUUGUAGGCAAACUCUGCCAGUGUCAAGAACUGAUCCCGAGACCCUCCAAACUCAACCACACAUGCAUGGAGCAUAUCCUCACGAAUCUGAAUGGUGGACUCGGACUGUUCGCCCGACUGGGAGUGAAAUGUUGUGCUCAUCAUCACCCGAGUACCUAACUCCUGCUGAACGGCUCUCCAGAACCACGACAUAAACUGAGUACCUCUGUCCAAAACAAUAGAAAUCGGGAUGCCAUGCAGACGAACUUCUCCCUGAUAUAAAUAUCUGCCAACCUCUCCGAUGAAUAAGUAUUACACAUAAGAACGAAGUGCACGAACUUGGUCAGCCGAUCUACAACAACCCAAAUGGCAUUUAACUUCUUCACAGUUUGAGGGAGUACAACUACAAAAUCUAUGGUGAUUCUCUCCCAUUUACACUCCGGAAUCUCCAUCUGCUGGAGCAACCCACCCGGUAUCUGGUGCUCAACCUUCACCUGCUAACAGUUGAGGCAUCUAGCUACAAAACCCUCUAUGUCUUUCUUCAUCCACCUCCACCAAUAGUGUUUUCUCAAGUACUGAUACAUCUUCGCGGCACCCGGAUGGAUGGAAUACCGCGAACUAUGAGCCUAUGUCAAUAUCAACUCCCGAAUAUCAUCAACAUUAGGUACACAGAUCUUACCCUACAUCCUCAAUACCCCGUUUCUCCAAUGAUCACAUCCUUAGCAUCACCAUGAUGAAGUGUGUCCCUGAGGACAAGCAAAUGAGGGUCGUCAUACUGCCGCUCUCUGAUACGAUCGAACAAUGAAGACCGAGAAACCACACAGGCUAGAACCCGACUGGGCUUCGAAAGAUUGAUGAUCUCACAAAUUGACUAGCUAAGUCCUGAACAUCCAUCACCAUAGGCCCCUCUAAAGCCGGUAAUAUACCAAACUCCCUAAACUCUCCACCCGCUGACUUAAGGCAUGGGCUACCACAUUGGCCUUGUCCGGGUGAUAAAGAAUAGUAAUAUCAUAAUCCUUCAGCAACUCCAACCACCUUCUCUGGUGGAAGUUUAGAUCCUUUUGAUUAAACAAGUGCUGUAAAUUCUGAUGAUCCGUGUAAAUCUCACAAGGCACGUCGUACAAAUAAUGAUGCCAGAUCUUCAAGGCAUGAACAAUAGCAGCUAACUCAAGGUAGUGGACAUGGUAAUUCUUCUCAUAUAUCUUCAAUUGUCUGGAUGCAUAAGGAAAUCACCCUACUGUCCUGCAUCAACAUCGCAUUAAGGCUAACCCGUGAGGCAUCACAAUAAAUUGAUAAGAUCCUGAACCAGUAGGUAAUAUAGAAAUAGGGGUUUUAGUCAAAGUUGUCUUGAGUUUCUGAAAGCUCGCCUCACACUCCUCUGUCCACAUAAAUGGAGCACCCUUCUAGGUCAAUCUAGUCAUAGGGGCUGCACUCGAUGAAAAUCCCUCCACAAAACAAAGUUAAUAAUCCACUAAGCCAAAGAAACUGCGAAUCUCUGUAGCAGAAGAGGGCCUGAGCCAACUCUGCAUGGACUCCACCUUCUUUGGAUCCAUAAGUUGAUGGAUAGGGUAAUUCUUCUCAUCUAUAUUCAAUUGUUUGGAUGUGUAGGUAAUCACCCUACCGUUCUGCAUCAACACCGCUCCAAGUCCAACCUGUGAGGCAUCAUAAUAAAUAGUAUAGGACCCUGAACCAGUACGACAAUAUCAAAAUAGGGGAUGUAGCCAAGGCUAUCUUGAGCUUCUGAAAGCUCGUCUCACACUCCUCUAUCCACUAAAAUAGAGCACCCUUCUGGGUCAAUCUAGUCAUAUGGGUUGCAAUCGAUGAAAAUCCCUCCAAAAUAUGAUGGUAGUAACCCAUCAAGCCAAGGAAGUUGCGAAUCUCUAUAGCUGAGGAGGGCGACCUCCACCUUCUUCGGAUCCACCUGAAUACCCUCACUCGAUACCACGUGGCCUAGGAAUGCCAGAGAACUCACCCAAAACUCACAUUUUGAGAACUUUGCAUAUAUCUUCUUCUUCUCUCUCAGGGUUUGAAGCACUGUCCUCAGGUGUUGCUUAUGAUCUUCCCGGCUCUGGGAGUACACAAGAAUGUCAUCUAUGAAAACAAUGACGAACGAGUCGAGAUAGGGCCUAAAUACACUGCACAUCGAAUGCAUAAAAGUUGUUGUGGAAUUAGUCAGCCCAAAUAACAUAACAAGGAACUCGUAAUGACCAUACCGAGUGCUGAAGGCAAUCUUCGGAAUAUCCGACUCCCGAAUCUUCAACUGGUGAUAACAUGAGCGCAAAUCAAUCUUAGAAAAAACAUGUGUGCCCUGAAGUUGGUCAAAUAGAUCAUCAAUACGAGGCAAAGGAUAACGGUUCUUCACUGUAACUUUGUUUAACUGACAAUAAUCGAUAUACAUGCACAUAGAACCAUUAUUUUUCUUCACAAACAAGACGUGAGCACCCCACGAUGGAACACCUUGUCAAAUAAAACCCUUAUCAAGAAAUUCAUGUAACUGAUACUUCAACUCCUUCAACUUAGAAGGAGCCAUACGGUGCGGAGGAAUGGAAAUGGGCUCAGUGACCGGCAACAAGUCAAUGCCAAAAUCAAUGUCUCUAUCAAGUGGCAUACCCGGAAGAUCAGUUGGAAACACAUCGGGAUAAUCCUGUACCCUAGAUAGAAUCAACAGAAGGGGUAUCAACACUGACAUCUCUCACAUAAUCUAAAUAUGCGGGGCACCCCUUCUCAACUAUACGCUCAGCUUUAAGGAAAGUGAUAAAUCUGCUGGGAGUUUGAUCUAAAGUACCACUCCACUCAAUACACGGAAUACCUUGCAUAGCCAAUGUCACGAUCUUGGCAUGACAGUCAAGAAUAGCAUGAUGGGGUGACAACCGGUCCAUGCUCAAAAUAACAUCAAAGUCAACCAUACCGAGUAACAAUAAAUCCGCCCAGGUCUCCAAACCAUGAAUAGUAACUAAUCACGACUGAUAAAUACGGUCCACAAUAAGAGAAUCUCCCACGAGAGUAGAAACAUAAAUAUCAGAACUCAAUGAAUCUCGGGCUAUACCAAAAUGCGGAGCAAAAUAAGAAGACAUAUAAGAAUAGGUGGAGCCUAAAUUGAAUAAAAUUGAUGCAUCUAUGUGACAAACCAGAAUAAUACUUUUUAUGACAGAAUUAGAGGCAACAUCCUCGUUAUGAGCAGGAAUAGAAUAAUAUCUAGCUCUGACCCUCUCUCGAGGGAAACCUCUAUCUCUUUGACCUACGACCCUAGCUGGCUGGGCAAACGGGGUGGCAGUUGGAGCUGUGAUCAUGGCUUGAGAACUCUGAGAAGCACGUUGUGGCUGAUCGCUCUGUGAAGAUUCACCCUUACCAACUCUUGUGCAGUCCCUAACCAUAUGACGCGUAUCUCCACACUCGAAACAAGCUCUAGGCGGAUGUGGUUGUUGUGAUAGGCUAGGGCUAGGUCUGCUGGACUGACCCCUAGGAGCACCCCGUGCAGGAGGCGCACUAGAAACUAGAGGUGCAUAGUAAGGCUCCUGAGGUAUAUGUGGAGCAGGGGCACUACUGGCUGCUGGAAGAGCUGAAUGAAUGGGGCGACCUACAAAAGCCCUACCAUGUCGACCUGCUACUAGGGUACGGGCACCAGAGUAGUGACCUAAUUCUCGAGACCGCUUGGCCUCUCUCUCCACUCGCUCCCUAGCGAGCAUACUCUUGAUCCUCCUAGCAAUGCUCACUACCUGCUGAUAAGGAAUGUCCAUUUCCAACUCUCGAGCCAUGCUACAUCUGAUAGGUGGGAUAAGACCCUCAAUGAACCUGCAAACUCUCUCGCGGACUUCAGCAACCAAGGCCGGUGCAUGCCUAGCCAAUCUGGUAUAACGGAUAGCAUACUCCGAAAUAGUCAUAUCACCCUAGCGCAAAUGCUCAAGAUUUGUGCGCCAUGCGCCUCUGAGACUCUAGGGGACAAACUCUCUCAUAAAAAUAUCCGAUAAUUGGGUCCAAGUAGUGAAGCAGCCUCGACUGGACUAUCUAUCUUAUAAGUACUACACCAAUCAUAGGCGGCUCCCCUAAGCUGAAAAGCAGUAAAGGAAACCCUGCUUGACUCUACUAUGCCCAUAGUACGAAGCAUAAGGUGGCACUCCUCUAGAAAUCCCAAGGCAUCUUCACAUAUCCAACUCUCCAGCCAUGCUAGAUCUGAUGGGUGGGAUAAGACCCUCAAUGAACCUGCUAACUCUCUCGCGGACUGUAGCAACCAAAGCCAGUGCUUGUCUGGCAAACCUGGUAUAACGGAUAGCAUACUCCAAAAUGGUCAAAGCACCCUGGUGAAAAUGCUCAAACUCUGUGCGCCAUGCGUCCCUAAGACUCUGGAGGACAAAAACUCUCAUAAACAUCUACGAGAACUAGGUCCAAGUCAGUAAUCAGUCUCGAUUGGGUUGUCUAUCUCAUAAGUGCACCACCGAUCAUAGGCGACUCCCCAAGCUAAAAAGCAGUAAAAGAACCACCCGUAGACUCUACUACGCCCAUAGUGCAAAGAAUAGGGUGGCACUCCUAUUGAAGCCCCAAGGCAUAAUCUGUCGCCAAUCCACUGAAAAUUGGAGGAUCAUACUUCUUGAACCUCUUCAACCUCCGCUGCUCGUCCUCAGACGCAACUGCCCCAUCUGCGGGUUGAUCGGCACUCCAGGAGGUACAUGAAUGAUCUAUGGGACCCCCUCCAUAUGCGCUAUCUACUCUUGAUUGUGGGCUACAGGAGUUUGGGCCCCUACCCCAGCCUAGGAUGUGGCUGCAACGAGGGGAAACAACUCCGCUUGAGCUAAGGUGGUGUACAUAAACAUGAACUAAGCUAAUGUAUCCUGAAGGGUUAGAGUAGUAGUUGUUGUAGGCGCGUUAGGUGCCUGAACUCCGGCUGGUGAUGGUGCCUCAGCGGCAGCUCGAGCAGGUGCUCUAGUUGCACCACGUGCGCGUUCACAGCAUGUACUCGGCCCCUGCCUCUGGCGGCUGCAGUAGGGGGCGCAAAUGUCUGAUUAUCCCGAAUAGCAUGUGUCCUCAUCUUCUGUGACAGAAUAGAAUACAGAAGUUUUAGAAUUGAUAUCAAAAUAUAGCACGACAAAGAAUUCAUUGAAGUGAAGAUUUUUCCUAAAUAGUUACAUAACCUCUCGUAGAUAACUACAUACAUCUUCGUACCGAUUAGCGAGACUCUAAUAAACCGGCCAGUGUUCAAUGACUCGUUUGAACCUAGAGCUCUGAUACCAACUUGUCACGAUGCUAGCUCACCAUUCGUGAACAUGUCAUGACGGCACCUAGUCACUAUGACUAGGUAAGCCUGACAGUGCGGUAACAACAUCAUUUUGCGGAAAAUAAUAAACAAAAAGUAGAUAAGUUUAAGGAAAACUGUAUAUAAAUGCCGCUCAGCAUAUACAACUCAUCAUCACAAGUCUGAAACAACAGUCCCAAUACCCAGAAACUCACAGGCAACACAGGCUAUAGAAAUUUAUAAUAAAGGCUCUAUGCUCCAAAAGUGUCUAUCUCAAAGGAAGACAUGAAGCUAAGUGCUAAAAGAUGGAUUAAGAGGGAGACUCUUCAGUCUGCGGACGCGACAGAUAUACUUCAAGUCUCUGUAGCUCUCCUGAUCACUAAUAACGCACCUGAGAGGAUGUACCUGGAUCUGCAUAUGAAAAACAUGCGUAGAAGAGGCAUGAGUACACCAUAGCGGUACUCAGUAAGUGCCAAGCCUAACCUCGGUCGGGUAAUUAUGAGGAAGGUCAGGGCCCGACUGAGGUAAACAUAAUAAUAAUAAUAAUAAUAAUAAUAAUAAUGUACCGUAUGUAAAUAGGUAAUAAUUGAAACAAAUGCGAAAUAUGACAGAAUCUAAAAGUCAACAACAAAUAAUCCAAACAAGAAUAAAACGGAAAAGUACAGCUCAAUACCAAUGAAGCCCUGAAGAUCUCCAAGGAAACUGUCCUGUAGUCCUUUCUCAACUGUCCAGUGGAUCUCCCGGGAUACCAUCCCAUAGUCAAUCAUAUAUGUAUCUAAAGGAUCUCUCAGGAUACCGUCCCGUAGUCCAACUGUCAAUGUGCAUGGGGAUCUACCGGGAAUCUAACCCAUAGUACCAAAGUAAAUAUGCAGGGGGAUCUGUCGAGAAUCGAACCCGCAGUACCAAAGGAAACAAACAAAGAGGGGGGCAGCUACCAGAAUCCCACAUCCGUAGUCCCAAUAUAAAUACACAACAACAUCUAGAGAAUAAUCGGAAACAGAAUUAAACACCAAGGAAUCAGAGAAUCAAGCCUAACAUGAUUCACGUAAUGCAACAAGGCAAAUUAAGCAACUAAAUUAAUUAAGUCAGCUAAACAUGAUUUUCUAGGCUAUCACAAGCUACAUGGCAAGUAAACAAAGCAAGUAAGAAAGGAAUAGCAACUUGAUCAUAUUAAGUAAAAAUCGGGUGUUCAAUAUUUAGCACAAGUACGCGCUCGUCACCUCACGUACAAGGCACUCAAUCAUAAAAUAACAAGUCCUAAUGAGAGAAAGUCCCCCCCACAAAGUUAGACAAGACACUUACCUCGAACAGGCUCAAACUCAACUAGGAACCAUGCCUUUGCCAUGAGUAUCCGACUCCAAAUGGCCCAACUCUAUUCAAUUCAAUUACAUAUUAUAAAUAAUAUUGCAAAUAACUGAUUCCACUAUUAAAUUUAAAGCUAGGGUGCGAAAAUAGGUAAAAUGACUAAAAUUCCCCUCACACCAACAUCUCAAAAUCGAAUAAUUUUAAAAUUUUCAUAAUCCUCGUACUCUCACGAGUCUAACCAUAUAAGAAUCUCCCAAAUUGGAGGUCAAAUGCCCACUCAAAACAGAAUAGUUUAGCCUAUGAAGUUUCACCCAAUUAUUUCAAUUGUUGAUCCUCAAUUCGAAUUUUAAUGAUGGAUUUAACUAUAAAAUGAUGAAAUAUAACUAUAAGGUAUCAAAGAAACAUUACCCAAUAAUCUCAUCUUCAAAACCCUCUCAAAAUCGCCUUUCCCCGAGCUUAAUUUGAUUUUUCUAAUUUAUGAAAACUAACCCUCGUUUUAAUAUCUGACAGGAAUUUCCGCUUCUGCGGAUAAGG
This 14827-nucleotide long non-coding RNA is filed under the name Nicotiana benthamiana. Its description in RNAcentral is "long non-coding RNA (NBEN_LNC042088)". Lineage: Eukaryota; Viridiplantae; Streptophyta; Magnoliopsida; Solanales; Solanaceae. The record is from RNAcentral.